This 511-nucleotide long non-coding RNA is filed under the name Homo sapiens (human). RNAcentral's name for it is "non-protein coding lnc-ZFYVE1-5:1". The record is from RNAcentral. Lineage: Eukaryota; Metazoa; Chordata; Mammalia; Primates; Hominidae.
AUGCCAGCCAGACUUCUCAGAGCCAUGGUCAGAUCUACCGUACACUGGCAAAAGCACAUCAGUGCCAAAGAAUUGGUCAUCUAAUGUUAAAACCACUAAAGGAAUUUGAAAAUACAACAUGCGGCACACUGACAAUACGUCAAAACUUGGAUUUGUUCCUUCCUGAUAAUACAGCUGGUAGUCUGAAUAAGUCUCAGAUCCUGUAAAUGAACCAAAAAAAAAAAAAAAAAAUCAAAUACAAGCAUUGUCUCUCCAUUAAAUGCUGCUCACUGCCAAGACGAAAAGGCACACCUUCCAACCAUGAAAUCCUUUGGUACUCACAAGAGAGUGACCCACAAACCAAAUCUAUUGGGGUCUAAAUGGUUUAUAAAAAUAUUAAAGAGGCAUUUCUCAUCUGUAUCAAUGGAAACAUUUGUUCCAAAACAAGGCUUUCCACAUAUCAAGAGACCACUAAAGCAUCCAGGACCAAGCAGCCAUCUAGGACCAACCUUCCAGUUCUGUCUGUGAACGA